Long non-coding RNA from Bombus huntii, 459 nucleotides. RefSeq lists it as uncharacterized. The record is from RefSeq and is a predicted model, not a curated record. The transcript is spliced from 3 exons. Lineage: Eukaryota; Metazoa; Arthropoda; Insecta; Hymenoptera; Apidae.
ACCGUGCUGUGUGAAAGAAGCAUUAAAAAAAAUUAUAUUUUAUUGAUAACGUCGUUAAAUGGGAUUAAACGAGUCAUAGGGGAAACGAUCAAGCGCGUGCGCCUUCAGCCUUAUACGAACGUUACGAAUAUUACGAUUAUUAUAUACGACUAUUGCAAACAUAACAAAUAUUACAAAUAUUGGUUAAGAAUAAAUCAAGGAACAAAAAGAACGGUCCCAACGUUUCUAAUUUCUUGCAAGCUUCCCCAAGGACGUGAAUUAUCCGAUUUAUCUGAAUAAGUUUGGCACAGUGGUCGAACGUAAUCCAUGCUUGUAUUAAGGUCUUCAAAACUAUGCACUAAAGAUUUGGAAAUACCAGAAAAAACUUUCGGGCUAAACUUGUCUGGAUCUUUUAAACCGUGCAGCAUUGCGGUGGUGCAAACGGACACAAGAGAGCCAACGGACGAACUAAGCAACCCC